RNAcentral lists this transfer RNA (70 nucleotides) under Psychrophrynella usurpator. RNAcentral describes it as "tRNA-Val". The record is from RNAcentral. Lineage: Eukaryota; Metazoa; Chordata; Amphibia; Anura; Craugastoridae.
CAAAAUAUAGCUUAACUAAAGUGCCUCGCUUACACCGAGCCCAUGCCUACUAACACCGGGCUAUUUUGAG